Molecule: unclassified non-coding RNA, 220 nt
Organism: Calidris pygmaea (Spoon-billed sandpiper)
Lineage: Eukaryota; Metazoa; Chordata; Aves; Charadriiformes; Scolopacidae
Source: Ensembl
GCGGCCGCAGCUCAGCCAAGCUGUUGUUUUAAAAGAGCAAUAAAAAUGAAUUAUGACUAAACGCCUUCUCACUUAAUGGUUUUAGACGGGGAUCCCCAGCCCCGGCAAAUACGUAAGAGGAUUUUUAUUUGUGCAUGUGUUCCUGCAAUUGAUCUCUUUGAUGACAUUCUCAUUCAUAGAAAGAGGUUGAUUUAUGACUUUCGGAAGGAUUGCGUUCAGC